Molecule: ribosomal RNA, 444 nt
Filed under: Clarias gariepinus (North African catfish)
Lineage: Eukaryota; Metazoa; Chordata; Actinopteri; Siluriformes; Clariidae
Description: partial large subunit ribosomal RNA
Source: RNAcentral
UAGGUCUCUAGGAGUGGUCGUGCUGCCAGUGACUAUUAACGGCGCGGUAUUUGACGUGCGAGUAGCGCAUCACUUGUCUUAAUGAGACUGUAUGAUGUGUACGAGACUACUGUCUCCGUCGAGUCAUGAAAUUGAUCCUGGCCGGUGCAGGAGCGGGACUAAAAUACCAGCACGAGUAAACCCUUUGAGCUUAGAUCCCGAUCACCUGUGUCAGACCUAACGUCACCUCAUCCACUGAUCCGAUCUCUUUGGGCACUGGGGAUAACAAGUCCACGCGUCGGGCAACGCUUACCAGAGAUUUUUCGUCAGAGUCUGACUUUAACGGCAGCGCGCAUGGGACUUUCCCGAUACGAUCAUGAUGUCACCAGUUAACGGUUGAACAGCUUGUCAAUGCCGGAAGUGUAUGAUAGCGCCGAUGGCGGUUCUAGUGCAUAAAUUUACAUC